This 253-nucleotide ribosomal RNA is filed under the name uncultured bacterium. RNAcentral describes it as "partial 16S ribosomal RNA". It matches the Rfam family "Bacterial small subunit ribosomal RNA", at positions 524 to 776 of the family's 1533-position model. The record is from RNAcentral.
GACGAACCGUGCGAACGUUGUUCGGAAUCACUGGGCUUAAAGGGCGCGUAGGCGGCUCCGCCAGUCGGGGGUGAAAUCCCACAGCUUAACUGUGGAAGUGCCUUCGAUACUGCGGGGCUCGAGCGAGGUAGGGGCAGAGGGAACUUCUGGUGGAGCGGUGAAAUGCGUUGAUAUCAGAAGGAACGCCGGUGGCGAAAGCGCUCUGCUGGACCUCUUCUGACGCUGAGGCGCGAAAGCUAGGGGAGCAAACGGG